UUAAUAUUUAAAUUUCUCAUCCAUAUAUUUCUGAUAAUAAGGUUCAGAAGUUUCUACGAGAAGCCUUAAAUUUCUCACUAUGGGUAAUCUGAUUCAAUAU
This 100-nucleotide non-coding RNA is filed under the name Clostridium tetanomorphum. RNAcentral's name for it is "Guanine sequence". It matches the Rfam family "Purine riboswitch aptamer". Rfam says of the family: Riboswitches are metabolite binding domains within certain messenger RNAs that serve as precision sensors for their corresponding targets. Lineage: Bacteria; Bacillati; Bacillota; Clostridia; Eubacteriales; Clostridiaceae. The record is from Rfam by way of RNAcentral.